Molecule: non-coding RNA, 23 nt
Filed under: Arabidopsis thaliana (thale cress)
Lineage: Eukaryota; Viridiplantae; Streptophyta; Magnoliopsida; Brassicales; Brassicaceae
Source: RNAcentral
AAGCUUCCAAGUACUUGUUUGUA